Molecule: ribosomal RNA, 301 nt
Filed under: uncultured bacterium
Lineage: Bacteria
Description: partial 16S ribosomal RNA
Rfam family: Bacterial small subunit ribosomal RNA
Source: RNAcentral
CAGCAGCCACGGGAAUACGUAGGUGGCAAGCGUUGUUCGGAAUUAUUGGGCGUAAAGGGCUCGCAGGCGGUUUCUUAAGUCUGAUGUGAAAGCCCCCGGCUCAACCGGGGAGGGUCAUUGGAAAUUGGGAAACUUGAGUGCAGAAGAGGAGAGUGGAAUUCCACGUGUAGCGGUGAAAUGCGUAGAGAUGUGGAGGAACACCAGUGGCGAAGGCGACUCUCUGGUCUGUAACUGACGCUGAGGAGCGAAAGCGUGGGGAGCAAACAGGAUUAGAUACCCGCGUAGUCCCUGUCUCUUAUAC